RNAcentral lists this ribosomal RNA (191 nucleotides) under uncultured bacterium. RNAcentral's name for it is "partial 16S ribosomal RNA". It matches the Rfam family "Bacterial small subunit ribosomal RNA", at positions 1304 to 1500 of the family's 1533-position model. The record is from RNAcentral.
UCUGCAACUCGACUCCAUGAAGCUGGAUUCGCUAGUAAUCGCGCAUCAGCCAUGGCGCGGUGAAUACGUUCCCGGGCCUUGUACACACCGCCCGUCAAGCCAUGGGAGUCGGGAGUGCCUGAAGUUCGUGACCGUCACAGGAGCGACCUAAGGCAAGACCGAUGACUGGGGCCAAGUCGUAACAAGGUAAC